GGGGGAGUAGCUUAGUUGGUAGAGUAUUGGUCUGUCGCGCCAAUGGUCGCGGGUUCAAGUCCCGUCUCUCUCG
Molecule: transfer RNA, 73 nt
Filed under: Palpitomonas bilix
Lineage: Eukaryota
Description: tRNA-Asp
Rfam family: tRNA
About the family: Transfer RNA (tRNA) molecules are approximately 80 nucleotides in length. Their secondary structure includes four short double-helical elements and three loops (D, anti-codon, and T loops).
Source: RNAcentral